RNAcentral lists this non-coding RNA (119 nucleotides) under Vibrio aestuarianus. Its description in RNAcentral is "TPP". It matches the Rfam family "TPP riboswitch aptamer (THI element)". Rfam says of the family: Vitamin B(1) in its active form thiamin pyrophosphate (TPP) is an essential coenzyme that is synthesised by coupling of pyrimidine and thiazole moieties in bacteria. The previously detected thiamin-regulatory element, thi box was extended, resulting in a new, highly conserved RNA secondary structure, the THI element, which is widely distributed in eubacteria and also occurs in some archaea. Lineage: Bacteria; Pseudomonadati; Pseudomonadota; Gammaproteobacteria; Vibrionales; Vibrionaceae. The record is from RNAcentral.
CCUUACUCAACGGGGAGCAAAUCAUUCAUCUAGUGAAUGAAGCUGAGAUCAAGUGCGAGCUUGGGACCCGUAAACCUGAACCAGAUAAUGCUGGCGUAGGAAUUGGGUUAGGAUUUCAG